CAUGUGAGCAGAAAAAAAGGAUUAAGAGUUCUUGGAGCUCAUGUACGUGGAUCGACAAUUCGCUCCGGGGUUUUUUUUAAAAAAAGAGAUUUGGGGGGUGGGUGGGGGACCAGAAACGGCCACUAGAGGGUGAAUCCUCGCGGGAACAAUGUACAGGGAGCGGCCCGAGCACCGGGACCGGGAAAAAGUGCCCGGGAUUGCAGCCCCAUUGCCUGGAAAGAUGCAGAGACCCUCGGUUCCCUGACACCCCAGCUGCCACCUCGGGGCCAUGAGGAAAGAGAGGCCGAGCGAAACAAGAAGCAAGCGGGCAAUAUGGGAACGACUCUGUGCACAGUCGGAAUGGAUUUGUCAAAGGAGGGACGGUUUAUUAAGAGAACUACAUCUGCAAGGAACGGAAACGUGCUCUGGAGGAAAUGCAAGGUCCGGGGAGCACUCCUGAUCUUCGCCGUUGGAAUGCGUACUCCAGCCGGUCGCUUUGAUAUCAGCUCCUGGUCUAAUCUUUGCCGCCGCCUUAAAUACAGCCUCGGUGUAGAUGUCAGCCACAAAUCAACUGUCAAUGGCUUUAACAUUUCUGAACUUGAUCUUACAGGAAGACUCACUGUUUACCAACCACUGUGGUUUGUUACGUGUUCUCGUACAAAAAAAAAGUUACAACCACGUCUAUUAGCUACACUUUAGCAUUGCAAAAGCACCACGAAGAAUAUGAAAUUUCUCUUUUUUAAAUAAAGUUGUGUUUAACCAGA
This is a long non-coding RNA of Chiloscyllium plagiosum (whitespotted bambooshark), 743 nucleotides long. RefSeq lists it as uncharacterized. The record is from RefSeq and is a predicted model, not a curated record. Lineage: Eukaryota; Metazoa; Chordata; Chondrichthyes; Orectolobiformes; Hemiscylliidae.